GGACCUUCUUCUUUUCAUCCAAGAUAGCUACCUGGUGGAUAGUUCUCCAAAUAUUAUACUUUCUAGUCAUGUUAAAUGUAUCCAACUCUUCAUUGGCUCAUCUGUUUCAAAUUUCCCAGGGACGUUUAAUGGUGCAAUGUGACCCUCAUGCCUUCCGAGAGGAAAUGAUAUAGAAAAUGACUUUCAGCAGAUUGACUGAUGACUUGUUAAUGAUGGCAGUGUAACCUGUUCUAAUGGAAGAUUUAUCAGCAGCAUUUCAGAUGGCCAAUCACGGGGUGUUGUGGUCCUAGUCACAGUUCAUGGCUGAAUUGGCUGGCAAAUGACUGUUAUUUUAAACUAACAUGUAGAGGUAGGUCAAGAGGACAUUGAAUUCCCUGGAAGAGCUUUUCCUCUAUUUUAAAAUACUGCAUGAUGAGAAGCAAUCUUUUAUUUGAGGAGAAUUGUGAUCAAAUAAAGAUUUGAACAAUAAACUAAGCACCAUCAAAUUUACGUAUUA
Ictidomys tridecemlineatus (thirteen-lined ground squirrel) is the source of this 496-nucleotide non-coding RNA. Lineage: Eukaryota; Metazoa; Chordata; Mammalia; Rodentia; Sciuridae. The record is from RefSeq and is a predicted model, not a curated record.